CUAAGGAGCACCACGAAAAGCACCCCAAUUGGUGGGGUGCAAGCCGUGAGGGGUUCUCGCCUGUAGUGGGCGGGGCCGGGUGCGCAACAGCAAAUGAUUGCCAGACACACUAUUGGGCCCUGAGGCAACACUCGGAUCGAUUGAGUGCUUGUCCCCCCAUCUUGGUGGUGGGGUGUGGUGUUUGAGAACUGGAUAGUGGUUGCGAGCAUCUAAACGAAUGCGUUGCCUCCGAAAUGGAGUGCGGCGGAUUCGUUGAAAUGUGUAAUUUUUCUUUGGUUUUUGUGUUUGUAAGUGCUUAAGGGCGCAUGGUGGAUGCCUUGGCGAA
Molecule: unclassified non-coding RNA, 325 nt
Filed under: Mycobacterium sp. IEC1808
Lineage: Bacteria; Bacillati; Actinomycetota; Actinomycetes; Mycobacteriales; Mycobacteriaceae
Description: partial 16S-23S ribosomal RNA intergenic spacer
Source: RNAcentral